AGUGAACGCUGGCGGUAGGCCUAACACAUGCAAGUCGAACGGCAGCACAGUAAGAGCUUGCUCUUACGGUUGGCGAGUGGCGGACGGGUGAGGCAUACAUCGGAAUCUACUUUUUCGUGGGGGAUUACGUAGGGAAACUUACGCUAAUACCUCAUACGACCUACGGGUGAAAGCAGGGGAUCUUCGGACCUUUCGCGAUUGAAUGAGCCGAUGUCGGAUUAGCUAGUUGGCGGGGUAAAGGCCCACCAAGGCGACGAUCCGUAGCUGGUCUGAGAGGAUGAUCAGCCACACUGGAACUGAGACACGGUCCAGACUCCUACGGGAGGCAGCAGUGGGGAAUAUUGGACAAUGGGCGCAAGCCUGAUCCAGCCAUACCGCGUGGGUGAAGAAGGCCUUCGGGUUGUAAAGCCGUUUUGUUGGGAAAGAAAAGCAGCAGGUUAAUACCCCGCUGUUCUGACGGUACCCAAAGAAUAAGCACCGGCUAACUUCGUG
Molecule: ribosomal RNA, 492 nt
Filed under: uncultured bacterium
Lineage: Bacteria
Description: partial 16S ribosomal RNA
Rfam family: Bacterial small subunit ribosomal RNA
Source: RNAcentral